UACGUAGGGGGCUAGCGUUGUCCGGAAUCAUUGGGCGUAAAGCGCGUGUAGGCGGUCCGGUAAGUCCGCUGUGAAAGUCGGGGGCUCAACCCUCGAAUGCCGGUGGAUACUGUCGGGCUAGAGUGCGGAAGAGGCGAGUGGAAUUCCUGGUGUAGCGGUGAAAUGCGUAGAGAUCAGGAAGAACACCAACGGCGAAGGCAGCUCGCUGGGACGGAACUGACGCUAAGGCGCGAAAGCGUGGGGAGCGAACAGG
RNAcentral lists this ribosomal RNA (253 nucleotides) under uncultured bacterium. Its description in RNAcentral is "partial 16S ribosomal RNA". It matches the Rfam family "Bacterial small subunit ribosomal RNA", at positions 524 to 776 of the family's 1533-position model. The record is from RNAcentral.